This is a long non-coding RNA of Aphidius gifuensis, 520 nucleotides long. RefSeq lists it as uncharacterized. The record is from RefSeq and is a predicted model, not a curated record. The transcript is spliced from 3 exons. Lineage: Eukaryota; Metazoa; Arthropoda; Insecta; Hymenoptera; Braconidae.
GUUGAAAUAUAUGAUAAUUUAAAAUCUCAAGUUUUAAUACAGUUUAUCCAAGUACAUGAAGAUUAUUUGCACCAUAAUUUUGAAAAUAUAAAUGAAGUUGUUCAUUAUUUAACAACAAUUUAUAAUUGGAAUCUAUGUGUCACUUUAAAAAAUUCUCCAAGACUUAUUUCUGAUACAGUUUGUGAAGCCAUUGCUUCAUGUAACAAACAGAGUAUAGGUCGACCAACUUUGAGAUGCAUGAAAUGCAAUAUAAAGAUGGAAUCCCAGAAAUGGCGAAAACCUCCACCAACUACUACAGUAAAAAAAGUUUUAAAAAAAAAGAUUUUGCAACAGAAAGUGAAACGAUUUAAGCAAAAGAUUGAAUCACUUGAAACGCAUGUUGGCGAACUGCGACAAAAGUGUGCAAAUGUUGAAGAACAAAAACUAGAAGAUGCUAUUCAUAAUGUUAAAGAUUCUCAAAAAACACUUAUAAAAGCAUGUCUUCAGGCAGCUAAAAAAGUUGGUGAAGGUAAAAAAGGUA